Molecule: non-coding RNA, 9808 nt
Organism: Rattus norvegicus (Norway rat)
Lineage: Eukaryota; Metazoa; Chordata; Mammalia; Rodentia; Muridae
Source: RefSeq, a predicted model, not a curated record
CUUCCCUUUCCCCGGGGGGCCUAUCUGGGUGAGUUCCGGAGUUUGUGACUCCAAAUUUCCACCAAAUCACGAGCGACCUCCCCUAACAUUGAGGCCGACCCGCACUGCGCCCGCCUAAUCCACGACUGCCUUCUCGGGAGUGCGCGGGCUCGCGGAGCAGGCGAGGUCCCGUAUCCACGGGCACGUGCCCGGGCGCGCGUCCCGCGGAGCUCGUUCCCAGCUUCACCUCCCAGCUCUGGUCCCAGUAGCUCGCCGCGCGCCGCCGGCUUCCCCUCACCUCCCAGCCGAGCGGCCUCUAGACCCCGCGCCGUUGGAGCGACCUGGGCGAAGCCAGGCGCUCGGUCCGCCCGAGGGGAAAGGGGAGAAGGACUGGGCGGUCCUGUGCGCCCGGGUAGGCGGAGUGGCAGAAUCACCUGAGACCACCAGACAGCUAGCUGCUUCCCACUCCUGCUCGAGCUUCUCACCCGGACUAGUGGUCCAGGCCCGGGAACCCGCGUCACACCGGAGAGGACUGAUCACAGCGAGCUAGUGGACAUGGCAACACCAUUUCUACCCGCGGGGGCCACCACGGGCGACAGCGGUGGGGAACUGAGCUCCGGGGACGACUCCGGUGACUUGGAAUCCUUCCAGACCCCUGAGGCCGAGGCGACCCGGAGCCUGGCGGAGCUGUUUGAGAAGGCUGCCGCACAUGUUCAAGGCCUGGUUCAGGUGGCCAGCAGGGAGCAGCUCCUGUACCUGUAUGCCAGGUACAAGCAGGUCAAAGUUGGAAAUUGCAAUAUUCCUAAACCAAACUUCUUUGAUUUUGAAGGAAAGCAAAAAUGGGAGGCAUGGAAAGCCCUCGGCGACUCAAGCCCUAGCCAAGCAAUGCAGGAAUAUAUCGCGGCAGUUAAAAAACUAGAUCCAGGAUGGAAUCCUCAGAUCUCCCUCAUUUCAUACAGAGCCUGUUAAACAACUCACAUCAUUGCUAUUCUAAGUCAUGCCUUUGCAGUCAAGCAUUUGAAAGUUGCAGGCUCUGACGGUGCGUAGCCUGAACGGAGACAGCCUGUGAGGCCUCGGUCAGUGGAGCAGCUCUGUCAGCAGAACUUGUGUUUGUCUCUCUUCUUUGAGGAUUCAUUUUCUUUCCUCCUCAUCAUUCAUAUACUGGGAUUUUACAUCCCAAGAAUUACUCAUUUUGGAAGCUUUGCCUCAGGUUCUGCUCCCUAGGGAAUCCUGGGAAGAAGCUAAUGGCUAACUUCUGAAACCAAAUAACAAUGUCUGCAGGUUCCAGAAGGGAUGUAGAUGUGGAUACAUUGCUAAAACAUUAUAGCAGUCAACAGGGAAUGGUUAAACAACAGCAUAUUGUUCAGAGGAAUACUCGGUGAGAAGUGGUACAGGAGGUUGACUGCAUGGAAAUGUUGAGACAGAAGUCAGCAUAUUUAAUCUGCUGUCAUCUUGGAAAUUAAAUCUUUGAAAUGUGUUCACAAAUGCACACUGGCAGGUAUUAGAGGAAUGAUGUGGAACCGAGAGAAGGAUGAAAGGAACUUUUGUUUUACUUUUACCACAGACUUGUUGUAGAUUAAUUUUUUCACAAUGAAACAAUGGAAAGUGAUUUAUUUAACUGCUAGAGACAGUGUGAUACUUAUUUAAAAUGAAGAACAAAUGUUUAAGAAACAGAAACCAUACUAGAGUACUUAUACUUGAUCUUAGCGAAAGGCUGAGAGCCAGGCUGCUAAGGCACAUGGUUUUCCAGUUUUUAAAGUGUGUGUGUGUGUGUGUGUGUGUGUGUGUGUGUGUGUGUGUGUGGUUUCUGUGUCUGUGUGUAAAUGUCUGUGUGUAAAAUAGCCAGAUUGCAUUGUCUUUGGUGGGUGAAAAUAUUUUUUUUUCACAAAAUGGAAAUAGUUUUUAUUUUUGUCUGAUUUUUACUUUUUAUAUGUGUCAGGAAUUGAACUUGAGGCCUUGCUCAUCCUGAGCAUAAACUGUACCACUGGGACAUAACUCACCCCUCCCCCCACUCUAUCACACACUUUUUAAAGAAAAGUAGGCAAUAGGACUGUUUGGUGAAAAUAAGAGUUCUUUUUAUGUUCCAAUUUUGAAAUUUUUCAAAUUCACAUGCACACAGAGCUGGGAUUUUAUUUGAUUUUUCUCCAUACAUGUGAUUUCUGAUGCUUGCAUGCUGUUCUGUCGUUUGGGCAAGCCCUGACUGCGUUCUCUGUAUAUUCAGCUGCUUCCUCAUUCUCCCUUCCCUCUCUUUGCUCUUUCCCACUGUAUAUGCUGCAGCAAACAUCUUUCCACUUAUAUUUUUGCACACUUAUCUAAUUAUUUCUUCAGAUGAAUUCCUAGCAGUCAGUGGCCAAAUUUUAUAGUUUUGGUUAUUGAUUGAUGACGUAGACUCAUCAAGUAAUGCAUUAUUUGUCUAGGAAGAAAUACAGGCUCAUGUUUUCUAUUAGUCACUUGUGACUUUUCAUUAGUGGUUAAUAAUUAUCGACUGCUCACAAUGGGUACUGAGAACACUGUGAACAUGACACCGGAGUACUAGGUCGGACUUUGCUCUGCUCAGAUCUGAGCAGACUGGGGCAGAGGUGACUCAUAGCUAAGGAUGAAAACACUAUGAGAGAGAAUAGUCCUUUAUAGGAUUUAGAAGGGAAAGGACAAAAUUUAGUUUUAAAACUGUAGCAUUUCUCUUCGUUUGCAUAAUAUUUUUUCUGCUUGCAUUAUAGUUGACUAUUUACAUGUCUCUCGUCUCCUUUAGACUUUAAGCUCCACAAGAAAACGUAUCUGCCCGGGUUAUGACUAUGUUCCCAGUGAGCAGGCAGCAAGCAUCUGUGGAGUUAUUUACUAAAUGGGCAAGUGCAUGCACACAACGAGCUAUGCAUCUGUUUCCAGUGUCGUUUGUGGAAGCAUGGCUACCAAGCUUUCGGGCAUAUGUUAUGAUGUUGCUAAAAAUAGUCUUCAACUGCAUAAAGAAAGGGACCCCACAUUCUUUAUUUAAUUAAAUUGCAUCAUUUCGUAUGUUCAUACCAUUUCAUAAAGCAAGAAGGUAAACCAUCACUCUGCUUCCACAUUAUGCAGCCUAAUUAUAAACCCAGGGUCAGACCUCUGUACUGGGAGGCAGCCGUUCAAUAAAUCAGUAUUACAAAUGAUACGCCCCAAAGGAGUAUUUACUGGUUACUUUAGCCAACUUAUAAAUGAGUAGCUUAAGACCACAAGUAAUUAGAUGGGGUCAGGAGUAAAGAAUACCUAUAAAAUAGAUGGCAAGUUUUUCCUAUUCUUUGAGGCUUGUUACUUCCUUUAUGCUGAUUUGUGUUCUAAAUUAUUGUUGAUAUGAGGGUUCCAAUUUUUGCUCUUUCCUAGUAAAACGUAAAUAAUUUUGAUUACAAGCACUAAGGAACAAAUGACUCAUUGAGGAGCAGAAAGCUCUCUGCGCCAGUAAGGAGUUAUCUUUAUGUUUCAAUGCACAUAAUGCAGUCAAUGAGACUCUAAUCAUGCUCUUACUUGUGUCAGCUUCUUACCAUUCAUUUCGUGUGUGCGCGUACACAUGCUCAUGUUCACAAAUGCACAUGUGGAGGUCAGAGGUCAGCUUCUGAGUGUUCUCUCACUCCACAGUGGGGGUUUGGGGGUUGAACUCAAUUUUCAGGCUUGGUAGCAACUACUGAGGAACCUUGCUGGACCUGACAAACUAUUAAUUGGAGGUAAGUUUUAUGCAGACUUAUUAUUGUUUUCAUAAUAAAGUUUUAAACAUUUUAAUAUUCUAGUAAUAUGUUCUUAAUUUCUUUUUUUAACAAGUCAAGAGUACUUACAGGUGUUGACACACUUUUAAGCUCUUAUUGAACAAACUGCCAGAUUACUUAUCAAAUAUUUUAAAUACCUAUCAAAUGUUUUUAUGUGAUUAUAAGUAAUUCCAAGACAUCCCACUCAAACACACUGUAUAUUCCAGUUUCAUGUUCCUGUGUUUACUGCUUUGAAAUUGAAUGUAAUUAGAAUAAACACAAUUCUGGUAUUUUGAAUCAUACCUUCAUCUUUAAAUUUUUGUCUUAACUAAACACACACCAUUUUUUCUAGAAACCCCACUGCUAAAGUCGGAAUCUGACAUUACCGGAUAUCCCUAAGUUCAUGCCAGACUCCCUUUGUCAAAGGCUUUCUCUACCUGGGAGAUCCGGGACCCUACACCCACUACCUGAGGAAUGUCAUGUACUCGUUAGGGAAAUUACAGCUCCAACUCCCUUUCCCCCAAUAAGAAACCUGGUCAUCCAGACCUGAGAUUCCUGCAGUGCCUCCCCAUGCUAAUGGGGUAUCUCAGUGCCUUAGCCUUCAGCCAAUGACCUUUGCCCUGGGUAUCCCUGACCCCAUCCCCAAAACUAUAUGACCCUUGAUUCACCCUGAAUAAAGUGAUCUGUCUCCCCGAAGCUGAUCCCAGAGAUAAGUCUGUUAUUUUGUUGUACUCCUGCCAUUCACAUACCCUGAAACCCUGUUGACCCUGCUCCCUUUGUCCUCAUGGGCUGGUGGCCAGCAACCUUGGGGGGAAGGGAGGACCACUCUAGCUUUAAAUGUUUUGAUUUUUUUCCCUUUGUGAAAUUUGGUAGUGUUUUAUAAAUACAUGUAGAUUAUGUGAUGCUUGUUCCCUUUAUCAACAGCCCUCAUUUAGUAUAAUAGAGCUCCAAAUAAGGGUUUAUUUUGUAAGAAUUAAUGGGAUAAAUAACAAAUUGAUUUUGAGUUUUUUCUCUGUGACACUUGAGGAACUUGGCAGUGCCUGUAUUUGGCAGCUAAGCUGCCAGACUAUUCUGGUGUGAUGUUUAAACCAGUGAAUGGAGCAUGUGAGGACACUUACUAAACAUAGCUGGUAAUGGGCACUUCUAGCAAGCAGAUUUCCGUGUUCAAGAUAGAGGGGUUUCAGAGCUCUAGUCUUCCUUUUGCCCACUGCCCCUGUCUCUAGGGCAGCAUUAGUUGUUGGAGGUUGAGUCCCCACUUACUUGAACACCUUAGCUGCUGAGGCUGAGUGCCCACUUCACUCUAUGAACUGCUGUUCAAAUUCCCUCCAUCCCCCUUUGGGCAAAGGCUUCUCGGUGUAGUCCAAGCUGGCCUCACACUCAGAGACUCACCUGCUUCUGCCUCCUGAGGGCUGGGAUGAGAGGUGUGUGCGACCACUACUGGGCAUCAAGACUGUGUGACUGUAACUGGAGGAAAGGACUAGUGAUGAACUAGUGACAGGCUGUACUUAUGGGAAAAGUGCAGAAAUACUAAAUUACUGACCAUGGUUUAAAAACGACAGAAUGGAACUGGAGAGCACUUGCCCAGUUCCCAGCUCCACGGGGCAGCUCAACCAUCUGUAACUCCAGUUUCAGGGGACCUAGCACCCUCUUCUGACCUCCUUUUGCACAAGGCAUGCAGGUGGUACACAGACAUACAUGCAGCACAACACUCACUCAUAUAUAUAAAAUAGAAAUGAAAUUUAAAAAUAAAUAAUAUGGUGGAUAAAGCCAAAAUACUGCACCUUUAGAGAUUUCUCUUGAACAGUAUUUUUUCGGUUGGGCUAUGAGAUUGCCUGAAAAACUUAUCACUUUCAGUAUUUUAAUAUCAGGAGUAAUAUUAGAGUUUUGUAACAUGAAUUAUAAUUUAGUUCUUUAGUGAGACCUUAAAAUAUCACCUUUACUAGAACUUUAAAUUCUUUUUUUUUUUUUUUUUUCCCGGAGCUGGGGACCGAACCCAGGGCCUUGCGCUUCCUAGGCAAGCGCUCUACCACUGAGCUAAAUCCCCAGCCCCCAGAACUUUAAAUUCUAAUAAAGCAUUCUGGUGGAGCUUGAAAGCUGGGUCGCUGUGCGGGUGGUUGUGUGUGCAGAAGCCAGACAACUUAGCUGUCGUGCUGUCUGUCCCUUGUCCUUAAAUGAGUGUGGUUUUUCUAUGCAGCAUCGUUUUCCACAGCAACAGAUGUUUUGAACUGUAAGUGACAGGCCAAGGAUGACGCAGUUUUCUGCUGCUUGUGGCUCGUGAGCUGGCAAGCUCCGAUUGCCCACCCGCCCGCCCGCCGAGAUUGGGUGAGAAUGGAGUGAGAGACCUUUCUUUUCCUAGGACUCCGUUAACACCAGUAGAAGCUAGGAUUUCCCUUAGGUAGAGCCGGGACAGUCAGCUUACCAGCAUGGCGUUCAUUGAGAAUUUCAGGCAAUAUGUUUGGAUCAUAUUCUUUCCUUCCCCUCCCCGAGAUGCUCUUCCUUCCCCACUCCCUACCAAUCCAACUUUAUUAUGUUCUUUCUCUAGCUAAAAAAAAAAAAAAGGCAAACAAACGAACAAGCACAAAGUACCAAAAAUCAUGGAGUCCUAUUUGUUGAAAGUUUUGUUUUUAAUGUUUGUGUGUGUUUUGCACGUACAUGGUGUCUGUGUACAUGGGCAUUGGAUCCCCUCAGACUGGAAUGAUAGAUCCUCAUGAACCACAAUGUGGGUGUUAGGAAUCAAACCCAAGUCCUCUGGAAGAACAUCCUGUGUUCUUUUUUAAAACAUACAUAAUUUAUUUUUAUUUUAUGUACAUGGGUGAUUUGACGUUGUAUCUGUCUGUGUGAGGCUGUCAGAUUCCCUAGAACAGGAGUUAUAGACAGUUGUGAACUGCUAUGUGGUUGCUGGCAACAGAACCUGGGUCCUCUGGAAGAGCAGCCAGUGCUCUUAACCACUGAACCACCUCUCCAGCCCCUAUUUAAAAGUUUUAUAUUGACUAUUGUUGGUCUCACUAAAGAUCAACGUUUAGUUACAUUCACUCUGAUUUUUUUGUUUUUGUUUUUAAAGAUUUAUUUAUUAAUUAUAUAAGUAGACUGUAGGUGUCUUCAGACACACUAGAAGAAGGCAUCAGAUCUCAUUACAGAUGGUUGUGAGCCACCAUGUGGUUGCUGGGAAUUGAACUCAGGACCUCUGGAAGGGCAGCCAUUGCUCUUAACCACUGAGCCAUCUCUCCAUACCUCCUUUUCAGGUAUUCUUCAUUAAUUGGAAGUAGAAAUACCCUUUAUUAUUAUGUAUGAGUUGUACCUAUUUCUUGCUUUGUCAAGUCUCUCAACAAAGGACCUUUUGUGUGCUUUCUUAGGGCGGGGUUCCUGCAUCCCAAGUGAAGUUUCCUGUGGAUUUUCUUCCACCUGACUCUUGGUAGUAACAGAAAAUGGCAGAACAGUCUUUGCAUACACAUCAGUGACUUCAAUCUUCACACUUGCAUGUAAUUGCUGCUGUCAAGUACAGUUACCGUCUGCCCAAGUUUCCUUCCUUGGGGACAGCUAUGCCAUGUUUUGAUAAAGAGUUAUAAAUUACGGGUUUCUGGGGCCUUUUGAAGGUUUAGAACCUGUCUUCUUUGAAAAAUUGAAGCUAUAAAAAUAAAAUCAUAUUGUCUUUUAAAUAUUUUAUAAAACUGACCUGAAUCACUUUGACAAUAAUAAGAAUAACAAAGAUUUGAAGGCUUGCUGAUUAUAUUUCCGAAUUAAUUAUGAAUAUAUUCCCUUUAUGGAUUCACGCUAUUGGUCACACAGCUCAAUACAUGUAAGAUCCCAAGAUCAUAGCGCGUUUCCCUUUCAAACAUAUAUGUAUGUGAUUCCUGCGUCACACAGGAUUAUUUCAGUCCUGUGAGUUUAAGACUACAUGUUCCACUCAGGCCUCCUCUACUCCAGAUCUGGGGAAUGAACUACAGUUCUAUCUUGGCUAACAGCAGUCGCAGUGUAAGACACAUGUCAGUAGAGGAGUCUAACUGUGAGAACACCAGAGUGUAUUACACAGACUAAGGUAGCUCUGAGUAUAAUAGGUAAUGAAGUCUUGUACUUGUUAUGUGCUUUGUCUCUGCUCGCCUGUCUUCUGUGCAAGUGGGCUUUCUUGGCUUUCUGGACGCAUGUUUUUAUUUUCUUCCCAGGGUUAUCGCCUCUAGACCCAUUAAGGCAUAAAUGGUCUGUGUCUAGUAAUAUAAGCUUUGUACUCACUUCAGGUGCUGUUAUAGUUAAAUCAGAAAUGCCCCACAGGAUCUUGUGGGUAAGGCCAAGAGUCUCUCUAUCCAGUCUUGCUGGCCUGAACCCAUUGUGCGUGCCUGUGCAUGCUUGCCCAUGGAGGCCAAAUGACAACCUCUAGUGUUCCUCAGGAGCCUUCUUUGAGACAGGGCCUCCUAUUGCUGUGGAGCUCUAUAGGUCGGUGAGGCCAGGAAGCCCUAAGGACCCUCUGUUCCCCACCUCCCCAGCACUAGGAUAAGUAAAUGCACCAUACUUGGCUUUCUGUGUGAGUUCUGAGGAUUAAACUCAAAUAUCAUGCGUGCUUGACAAAUACCUUACUGUCUGAGCUUUCUGUCCCUUUAUAGAUGCAUGAUACUCUUUUGUGUGGAUGUAACACAUUUUGUUCAUUGUUGUUGGACUGUUGGGCUAUUUCCACUAUUUUAAAUUAUUUGUUUAUAUGUGUGUGAGCAUGCAUGAGUAUUUAUGCACCACUAGCCCUUGGAGGUCAGAAGAGGGCAUUUGGGUCCAGAGUUACAGGUAGUUGUGAACUUUCAUGUGGGUGCUAGGAACCUAACCCUGGGCUCCUGCAAGAGCAGAGGCGUUCUUAGUGCUGAGCCUCUCUUCAGCCCCACAGUGGUUCUUUUGAAUCAUGUUGCUGGGAAUAUUAUGUACAACUCUCUAUUGAAUAUAUAUCUUCACAUAGGAUAUAAACCUAGGGGUGGAGUUGCUUUAUCAGAAUCUGAGCAUAAUUAUAAACACAGUAAAUCCUAAAUAUCAAACAUUUGCAAGACAAGAGAGCCCUAAAGUCUUAGUCCCAAAAGAUUAAAAUACUGAAUGUUGAAACCCCGACAACCAAAAUUAUGAAAGUUGGAGUUCCUUUUCAAAAGAGAAUGCUACCAAAGAAGGUAAAAGCUAAUCUCAGUGCUUGGGAGCCGAGGAGGAGAAUCACUGAGCUCAAGGCCAUCCUGGACUACUACAAGGCUAUUCCAGGCUAGCCUGGGCUAAAGAGUGAGGCUCUUUGUCAGACAACAAAAAAGUAGAAGCUGAGUUUCUGGGUAAGGGACUGAUGUCUGGUCAGUGCUGUGCUUGCCUUUGAGGCUGCCCCCCUUCCAGGAUAAGUGGACAAACCAGUACUCUUCUAACCACACCACUGGUGUUCGAUUGCCACGGAAGGUACAGUUUCCAUUUAACCACCCACUCUAACCUUGAAGGACCAGUACAUGACCACUUUGCCUGCUUGGUAGUAUUUUCAAAACUGUCUCAGUGUUUGUUUUGUUAUGUUUCUUAAAUCAAGUUAUAGAAUUCAUGCCCUUGUGUAAACUGAAAAUUUAGAACUCAUCCUCUCAUUUAUUUAUUAAUGAUGGGGAGAGUGAAGGACUUUAUAGUUAUUGAUUUGGAGAUUUGGUGGACCUUGCAGAAGAAAAUAGGUUUCAAUUGAAUCCCCAAACCAUAAUGAUAUAUUUGAGGUAGGGUGUGACUGAGUCUUCUUCUGAAGGUGCAUUUAAGAUUGCUACCAAUAAAAUUCCAUUUGACCCAGUAUAUUUGAUGGAAAUUUUUGAUGGAUUGGCCAAAUAAUGUGGCAAUGACUAUUUUAAAAUGCACCAUUUAUCUGCAUUGGAAUGCCAUCGAGCUCAUGAAAUUCCAGAAGUACUUAAUAAAUUAAAGUCACAUUUGUCUGAAGAACCCAUUCAGCUGCUGAUUGGUUUGAAAAUAAUUACAUGCAUAGCAGGAUAAGAAGACCCCAUCAUGUCACUAUUUGAUCAACGACACUGUUCCCGUCAACCUUGAGGAGUGCUUUUAUGAGUACCCAUAAACUGUAUUUCUGCAUAACCAGUGUAACAAAGUGUGGUCCAGAUGAGAAGACAGGAGAAUCUAAUAGGGAGUGACCUAUG